Molecule: ribosomal RNA, 247 nt
Filed under: Escherichia coli
Lineage: Bacteria; Pseudomonadati; Pseudomonadota; Gammaproteobacteria; Enterobacterales; Enterobacteriaceae
Description: partial 23S ribosomal RNA
Rfam family: Bacterial large subunit ribosomal RNA
Source: RNAcentral
GGGUUGUGAGGUUAAGCGACUAAGCGUACACGGUGGAUGCCCUGGCAGUCAGAGGCGAUGAAGGACGUGCUAAUCUGCGAUAAGCGUCGGUAAGGUGAUAUGAACCGUUAUAACCGGCGAUUUCCGAAUGGGGAAACCCAGUGUGAUUCGUCACACUAUCAUUAACUGAAUCCAUAGAUUAAUGAGGCGAACCGGGGGAACUGAAACAUCUAAGUACCCCGAGGAAAAGAAAUCAACCGAGAUUCCC